Molecule: long non-coding RNA, 2203 nt
Organism: Esox lucius (northern pike)
Lineage: Eukaryota; Metazoa; Chordata; Actinopteri; Esociformes; Esocidae
Source: Ensembl
GAAAAAUGUAACAUUGGUUUGAAAUUUGUAGCUGAUGUGGUCAAAGAGUAAUUGAAACGUGAAUCUUGUUAUCGUGCACUUUGUUGACAGUCUCUAACUGGUUCCAAUAACAGCUGAGUACAACUUUUGCAGCAGCUGAGUACAACUUUUUUGGAAAAAUAAAACAAUAUUGUAUACCGUUUUUCCUUCAUAAAGAAUCUAACCUGAGGUCUGUAGUUUGGAUCGUUCACAAGCUAUUGUGCUUUGAAGAUACGAGUGUCCAAUAUCAAACAUCAAACUAACUUCACUGCCUCUUUGUAGACCAGCAUGCUGCAAUAGGUUGCACUUGUCCAGUAACACAACUUACAGUAGACUGCCAGGGUGCCAGGGAAAGAUAACUCAACAUACAGAUGAAAAUUAAAAUGGACAACAUACUUUUUCCAUUUCCCUGUCUCAUUGUACUUUUGGGUCUGGUGUUGACUUCUAUGACUACAGCCCAAAACAACAUAACUACCACAAUCAGUCCCACUAAACUCAUCAAUCACACCGGAAACCAGGUAAACUCAACCAUCAACCCAGUUGAUACAGCACAAAGCAAUGAUACCACCACAACUCUGCCAACAAAUUCAGGCAGUCCUAACACCACCACAGAAAAGGAUGAUGACAAAAGCACCAACAUCUCAACAACCACAUCCCAGCAGUUGACACAGAAUGGCAAUACUUCACAUCCCUCAGGAGGAAUCAGGUCCACAACUCCUGCUGGAAGCACCAAGGACAAAGAAUUGGGUCAUACCAAAACAACAACAACGACAACUGUGCCAACAUUAGUUCCUACCACAAGUGCCCAUCGAAAUUCCACAAAAUCCAAGAUCUGGCUAAUCAUCUUGAUUAUCAUCAUUGCUGUGGUUCUUGUAAUAGUAUUUGUCCAAAUACGCAAGAAGUUGAAGAGGAAAUCGAUGGAUCUGCCAAGCAGACAGGAGGAUGUCCCUCUGAGUACUCACGAUCAUGACGUCGCGUUUGACAGCUCUCCGGCACCGAAGGAAAUGCAGACCUUUACGGCUGUGGACCUCGACAGCACUGAAGCCCUGGUUGAGGAUUCACCUGGAACAAAGGAGGAUGGUGGGAACAGCUCCGACCUCCCCCCGCCGCCAGGCUCUGUGGACAAACCCCAUGACGUGGCCCCGACUAAACUGGCCCCUGAACACGGGGCCCUGGGGGUCCCAGAAGGGGAGACUGAUGACGAACUCGCCGUCUCCAAUAAGACCUCGGUGGAGUCAGUGGCGGUCAACGAUGACAACAACAACAACAACAACAACAUCAGGAUGCCAGUGACAACGAGAGAUUGAAGAAAAAACAUGAAGUCAAAGGUCAAUACAUCGGAAAUAAAUGGAAAAACUAGCUAGCUGAUUAAAUUCAUGUUUGCUUAUGGAAAUAAUCAAUUUAUUAUUAUUAUAUUAUAACAUUUUCACAUUUCAGGAUAAACCUUUCAAUAUGUUAACUUGCAAAAAUGCUGUUUAUUUUCUGGUACUUUUUCAAUACUGUAUUUUUCCCCCCAAUAAACCUACAGGAUGGACUUUAUUUAUAUUGAAUAAUUUAAAAAAGUCAUUGCAUAUACCUCAGUCAUCAGGUAUAAGAGUAUUUUGUGUAUAGCUAGAUGUAUGUAUAGUGUAUUGGUUGAAGAGUGGCUUUGUCAGGAUGGGUUUAUGUUGUUAUUCUAAGGGUAUAUGCUGGUUAAGAUGUGUUUGUGUGAGCAGGAUCAAUUCCAAAAUCAAUUUAAAAACAAUUUUUAAAGCUUUAUGAGGAUUUUUUCCAUUUGCCCUCAAGGUAAUUAGAAAAGGUGAUGUUUUGUAAAAAAUAAAAAAUAAAUGCAUAUUUUUUUACUGUCUAACAGUAAAGUCUCCAGAGGAGUUGCAAAUGUAGUAAAUGUGUCACAAGAUGUGUGAUAUUAGGUAAUGUACAUCCUUUUGUUUGUGAACAUUAUGUCAAUAUUUUAAAACUUCCCCUUUUGUGAUCUUCGUUGUGUAGGUAAAUUGACCCUAUGGAUAGAAGUUAAUAUGCAGUAGCCUAAGGGGAUCCUGAUUCUACAUAAUAUACUGAAUAUUUCUCUAGUCCUAUGCUCAGCCCGGCUCCACUCAUUGUGUAAACUAAAUGCUAUUUCUAGAACAACAAUAUCUUGUGUUGUUGAAAACAUUGUCAAAUAAAUCUGUUAAAAACAUGUGCGAUA